AAGGAUCAUUAAUGAAACUUCAAAGUCGGCUUGGUCCUCUGUGCUGGUGGAGACACAUGUGCACGUCGACAAAGUCGCAAACCCCACACACUUGUGCAUCUAUGACUCUGAGUACCACUUUGCAUGGGCUGUUAAACGCCCUGGCACUCGAGUAACUUUCACACACUCUGAAUGUAAUGGAAUGUCUAUUGUACAAUGUACAACCAAAAACAACUUUCAACAACGGAUCUCUUGGCUCUC
RNAcentral lists this unclassified non-coding RNA (240 nucleotides) under uncultured fungus. RNAcentral's name for it is "partial contains 18S rRNA, ITS1, 5.8S rRNA, ITS2 and 28S rRNA". Lineage: Eukaryota; Fungi. The record is from RNAcentral.